RNAcentral lists this long non-coding RNA (258 nucleotides) under Anas platyrhynchos platyrhynchos (common mallard). RNAcentral's name for it is "lncRNA (ENSAPLG00000020775.1)". The record is from RNAcentral. Lineage: Eukaryota; Metazoa; Chordata; Aves; Anseriformes; Anatidae.
UUUUAUAGGAAGCAUGUUUGGGACCUGUGAUGGGAUUCCUCACAAAGAAUUGUGAUGUGGAUUAAAGAAACUAUAUUCUGCUGUACAAAGUUCCCAAGAUGCUAAGGUUUUCAGCCUGAUUCUUUGCACAGAAAGAGGGAGGCAACUACCUGACACCUGGAGAUUAUGAAAGUCAUGAAAUUCAGCCAAAAUGUGAGUUUUUAAAUCUUUUCAACUUUAAGAUAAAUUUGUAGUGUUAGUGGAUUUACCAAACUAAAU